UUCAAAUAAAAUCACUUGUAUAAAAUUUUACCCGCCUCAUCAAUCCCAUGCACAGAGCCCGCAUUGAAUGCACAAUGUCAAAGCGAGCCUUCCUAUUUUCUCAAAUAACUCCCAAAAUAUUAUGAAAUACUUUUUAAAAGAGCAGUUACAAAAUACCAACUUUAAUGGGUUUUCUCAUAUAACAAAAACAUGUGAGUUUUAUUUUAGAAAAUAGGACUGAGUGAUGCAGUGAAAAUGAGCCUAUGAAAUACCAAACAUUUAAAUGAAAUUAACAAUAAACCACAUUUUUAGUUAAUAUUAAUAAUUUUUCUACACCUGCAAAUUAGUCCCAUUUAUUGUUUAGUAAAAAUAAUAAAUUAGAAAACAAACCAGAAUGAAAUUUUAAUGUAAGUGUCAGUUUAAAUUUUUUUAAUCUAAAAUUGUUUCAUUGUAAAAAUUAGAAAAAUAUGUAUAUUGAAUGCUGAAGAUUAGUUUUAAUUUCAUGAAUACCAACAAAGUGCUACAGAGUAUUAAAAAAAACAACUUUGUGUAUAAAAAAACCGCUUCAGAUAUAUAUACCCGCCAUGGGGCAGAUAGUUGAGAGACUCUAUUUGAUUGCGUACAAUUUCGGUAAACGUUCUCCACUCUCCCAUUCAAGGCGAAGCUGUUUCGCUGAAUUGAUCGUGCCUUGAGAAUGCAGAGCUCCUUUCCCUGGUACUGGAAUCACUGCUGAAUCUCCUAGCAUGAGCCUCUGGUUGUUUGAAUCACUAAAAAACGGCCUUUUUAAGUUCUAUGCUGACAUAUCGAACUUUUAUGAGCUGACUUAGGAGCUUCACUGAUCUUUGCUUCCUGUAGACUAUCUUCGAGUUGUACGGCUCACAGAGUUUUUUCAAGCUGUCAUUUUCAUCCUCUUCCACUUCGACCACAAACUGUCGCAUGAAGCUCUCUCUGACCUAAAAAAAUUUAUUGCACUCAAUUUCAUACCAGAACUUAAUGAAAUAUGCUUACCUUUGGUAGGAUAAAGUCUGAGGAGACUUUGUGUAAUACUGUCAUCUGAGGGCUGUCAGGAAAUUUCUCAAACACUCUAAGCCUGAACGGAAGAGUUUCUUUGAUUUCUGCACUCUGUUCUCUGAAUUUUAAUUGCUUUAAUUUUUUCAGCUCUUCGUCGAGUUCAAGAUUAUCUAAGAUGACUGCUACGAACAAGCUGAGCACAAUCUAUAAUAGAGGAUAUUUCUUAAAAACAGUAAAAACUAUUAUAAAAACUUCAGCAUUGUCUCGUCCAUAACUUCUACCCAGGCUUCUUGUGUCAAGAUUUGAAACAUAGACAUGAAUGCCUCCGGAAAGUUUUCAAAUUUUGUAAAGUCAGCUAGAAAGCAAAACAACUGCAUAGAAAUGCUGGAAGAAAUUAUCAAAAGGCACAUGGUGAAUAUUAUAAGGCUCCCGAGUUUUUUCCCAGGCCCGAAGAUCUUGUAGACAAAAUCCUCCAGCAUCGGGGAAGCUUUUACAAGUCUCAAAAUCCUUAGGACCUGUAACAAUUCAAUAUAGGUCAAUGGAGACAAAUAAAGGGACGGAAUUAUGUGUAGUGUCGUCCCAAUGCUCAGGAGGAGUUCGAACUUAUGGCCUUCCAUCAUGUUUAAAAUGCAUUGUCGCUGUGACAAUUCCAUUUGCGAGGAUAAUUCCCAUCAUUAACAGUCGGAAUGAUGCACUUCUUAGAAUCGUCUGGCAAAUUGGUGGAGCGAGGCCACUGUAUUUAUUCUCAUCAAGAGUAACUAAUUUCCACCCC
This 1762-nucleotide long non-coding RNA is filed under the name Cimex lectularius (bed bug). Its description in RNAcentral is "uncharacterized LOC106665053, transcript variant X2". The record is from RNAcentral. Lineage: Eukaryota; Metazoa; Arthropoda; Insecta; Hemiptera; Cimicidae.